Ictidomys tridecemlineatus (thirteen-lined ground squirrel) is the source of this 3594-nucleotide non-coding RNA. The record is from RefSeq and is a predicted model, not a curated record. Lineage: Eukaryota; Metazoa; Chordata; Mammalia; Rodentia; Sciuridae.
AGCAGGUGACAGGUCUGGGUUCAAAGCCUGUACCUUGGCCAGCACUUGGGGCUAUUUCUGGGCACAUGGGGUGUGCCACGUGGAAGCCACAGAGAUGGCUUGAUUUUUAUCAGCCAAUGAAAUUGGAAGGUUCUGCCUCUUUGCGAUGAUGUCAUAGUCACCAAGCAGAUCAAAUCUCUCUGAGAAUGACCUCCCUCUGGAUUCUUUAUUGAACAUCUUGUAUAACUUACUACAGGGAGGGACUAAUCUCCUUCAGUUUUCAUUAAAAAGUCCCCAGGCAAGUGUCUUCAUGCAUUUUUUGUUCCUAUAACUGGAUUCCACAGGCUGGGUAAUUUAUGAAGAAUAGAAGUUUAUUUGACUCACAGCCCUGGAGGCUGAAGUCCAAGAGCAUGGAGCCCGCAUCUGCUCAGCACCAGGCCAAGCCUUGCCACGUCACAACAGGGCAGAGGGCAUUGCGCAGGAGCUGGAGCCAGCAUGCUAGCACCAGGUCUCUUCUCUUCUUCUUACAGAGCUCCAAUGCCACCACAGAGGCCCGCCUCAUGAUCUCAUCCAAUCCUAAUUACCUCCGGAAGGCCCCACCUCCAAAUGCCAUUAACAAAUGACUGAGGAAUACGUUUCCAGCAUAAGAACUUUUGGGGGGACCACACCCAGAGGACAGAAGGAAGGCACAAUCCAUCUCUGCUCAGAAAUCGAGGACACAGGCUUCCAAUUCUCUGGACACUAACUGGUUCUCAGAGUUCAACUCAAUCCUGCCACUUUCCACCUGGAGUCAGGGUGGGUCUCACAAGAGACUGAGAGGUGGGGCCGAAUGCUCCAACCUCCCACCAUGCCUUGGCCUUCCUGGUGACCAGUUUCAUCUUGAAGGUGCUCAGAGACACCAGUGCAGUCAUCUUACUACUCUCCAGGAAGCACUCAUCACUCUGGAGAUUCCAAUGAUCUUAGGAGAGCCUGUCAGAAACCAGAGACUAACAGCAAAGGAAAGAUGUUUCUGUCAUCACCUUGACGUGUUUCUUAUGAUGUCACAAUAACACAGAGAGGUCUCUGAUUGGUCUAGCUUGGACCAACUGCAUGUUUCUUGUGAUGGUACAAUAUCACAAAGAGGUCUCUGAUUGGUCUACUUUGGACCAAUGAAAGCUGAGCUUGAGGUAGAAGGCGCCAUGAUUGUCUCAGUUUGGACCAAUCAAAAGUGAGUGGGGAGGAGUCAUAGACUUUGGGCUCUUCAGCCUGGGAUUGGAAUGGAGCAGGGCGGCCCCCAGGAGAGGGGAGUGGGCUGGGAAGACUGGAUGGCAGUAUCAACUAGGCUUUCACUUGGGGCCCAGUUGCUGAAAUUCUCCUCAGGGGUUUAUCUGAUAGAAUUCCCAAGGCAUUUCAGCCUCCAGAGACUCUUAUUAAUACUCAAAGAACGCUGAGAAGGUUCACACCCAAGCGGAAAUUCAUUGCCAAGAACCUGAGAGCAAGCUCCCGUGGGAAAGGCAAGGCGUAAAACCAGAUGCCAAAGGGAUGUCUUCGCAGUUUGGCUCCAGGACCUGCCAAUGAAUGCACAAAACGUCAAGAGACAGCUUGGGGAAAACAUAGGUUUUGGAGUGAAGGGGAGCUGGAAUCAAAUCUCUACCCAGAAACUCUCCGUGUGGCCUUGGGCAAGUCACCUAACCUCUCUGGAAAACUACAAGAACUGAAAGCAGCAGAGCUGUCACCAGGCUUCCAGAUGAGAUCAGUCCCUCUUCCCCAGCUUAGAGGUGCUCCUUCAACAGGCACAAUUGGGUGUUUUCUUUAAGUCAGCCCAGUUCUUAUCCUCUGGUGACCAGAUCAUGAGUCUUGUGAGCAGUCACCAGCCAGAAAACGAGGCCACGCAUUUCUCCGGGGAGGCCGGCAUUCAGCUCUCCCAGCUCCCCUGCAUCUCAGAGCAGCACGGAGAAGUGGGACAGAGACAAGCUUUGAAGUCACACAGGUCUGGGCUCCAAUCCCACUUCUGCUACCAACUAGACGUGAUCAUGGGCACACCACUCCUCCUGUCUGAUCUAUAAAAGACAGGUCUUUCUUCCGGCAGAAACUGCUCAUCAGGAUACAAGGCACUAACACACAGAGCUGCCUCCCAGGCACACCUGCCCAGUCAGUGACCUGAGAAACACGCAUUGUACACCAUGCUGCCCACACAUGGUUUGGCUGGUGUUUCAGGAGCACCUGCCAUGACAUGAUCAUCUUUGCCAUUCAGUGCUGCCUGGGAAGGUGACCUUGGGCAGGACCCUCACCUGGCCAAGCCUCAGCCUCCUCAUACGUGAAGGGAAGAGAACGUCAUGGAGGGAUGGAGCACUUCUAAAACUCGUCUCCUGGGGACGAUGAGUCUCCCCCUGCCUCCUCCUCCUCUUCCUCUGCUCUUGAACUUGGCCAGCAGGUCUCCGGCCAAUCGGAUGAGGCCCACCCAUGGUAUGAAGGGCGAUCUUAAAUGCUGAUCUCAUCCCCAGAUCACCCUCCAACUUGACACAUAAAACCAGCCAGCACCCUCCUGACCGCCCAGUGCUCUGCCCCAGGGAGAAUGCCACAAAAUGUAUAAUAAACUAAAAUUUCUCCACGUCCGGAAGCUUGAUGUCGGGGGAGGAGCCCAUUCCCACCCUGCCACCCCUCUUGUCCCGUCCAGCUCUUUGCCUCCUUCCUCUUGCUUCUGUGCCUGUUUUCUGGGGAGAAUCAGCCUCGUGCUGUUUCCCAAGCAUCCUGUGCACACUGCUGCCUUGAAGGGGAUGACAGCGGUUUGGCCUUCCCAGUGCCUUGCCCCUGCUCCCCUUGUUCCUGCUGUGUGACCUGGGAAUCCUGCCUGCCUUCCACCCACGAGUGACCCUGGCUGGGCCAAUCGGAGCCCUGCCCUGGGAGUUUGGGGGCGAAUGCUAAUGACGAUGAAUACAAAUGAGCCUUUGCUGUGGAGCGGCUGAGUCGCACAGGAUGCUGUUGUCAGCAGCCCAGGUCCAGCCUCGUAAAGCAAAACGAGGUUGAUGGGGCUGGAGAAGCAACAGUAAGCAAAGGAGGGAUGGCAUGCUAGUGGCUGAUUCCACCUGCCCAACCUCAGCCCUGCCUUCCCACCCUUUGUUCCCAAAAGCCGAUUCCAUGCCUCCCUACCCCCUGCACCCCUCUCUCCUCCACUUACCCUAGCACAGUGGUACUCAAGUGGGGGUGAGUUGCCCUCCAGGGGACAUCUUAGCAAAGGCUGGGGUCAUGUUUGCUUUCACAAUCCAGGGCAUCUAGCGGUAGAGACCAAGGAGGGUGUGAGCAUGCCAUAGGACUGCUGCCCCUGACCAAGAGUGAUUGGCUCAAAAUGCCACUAGAGGUUGAGAGGCUUGCCGCAUCCCACCUCCCUGGGGUGCUCCCUGUGCCAUAGCCCUGGGCUGGAUUCCUAGACUGGCAUGGAGCAGUCAUAGCUCAGACUGCCCACCUCCACCAUCCAGAGCCCUGGUGUCCACGAGCCACUAGCCACACGUGGCUGCUGAGGACUUGCAAAGUUCCAGGCCACACCAAGACGUACUGGAGAGAAGACGGACGUAUCACACUAUAGGACUUAGGAAGAAAAAGAAAUAUAAAAUGUUGCAUUUAUCAUUUGUACCUCAA